UUCUUCAGGGUCGGGUGAAAUUCCCAAUCGGUGGUAUAGCCCACGAGCCUGCGUCAGCCAAAGCUGGCGGGGCAUGAUCCGGUGAGCACCGCGCAGGGCGCGGGGCGAUUCCGGAGCCGACAGUAAAGUCUGGAUGGAAGAAGGCG
Molecule: non-coding RNA, 146 nt
Filed under: uncultured Eisenbergiella sp.
Lineage: Bacteria; Bacillati; Bacillota; Clostridia; Lachnospirales; Lachnospiraceae
Description: FMN riboswitch (RFN element)
Rfam family: FMN riboswitch aptamer (RFN element)
About the family: The RFN element is a highly conserved domain that is found frequently in the 5'-untranslated regions of prokaryotic mRNAs that encode for flavin mononucleotide (FMN) biosynthesis and transport proteins. This element is a metabolite-dependent riboswitch that directly binds FMN in the absence of proteins.
Source: RNAcentral